CCCCUCUCUCCGCAGGAAACGGAAACGGACGUCAUGGUGUCCAACUCACAUCUCCAUCUGUCGGCUGCAUUGACCUGCGUUGCUAUCCGUCGCCUGUUAGCGGGUGCAAUGGCAAGAUCCAACAGAAGGCGCAGAAGGUUGAGGCGCAUUUUAGCGAUGUGCCAGUGGCAGACAUGAACGAUGUCCUUGAGGAUGCUGAAGCCUUCCCCCCUGAAGAUGGGGACCAGAGUCCUCCCCCUGCCGCAGCAUGUGGACAGGAAAGUCCUGGACACCACCUAAGGAACAGGAUUGCUGCACAACUCUCUGCUCCUGUCCAAAUGGCACCACACCAGAGAGCACGAUUACAUCGAAUGAACUUUGUUUUUUUUUGGAAAAACGUGGUUGUCUGUUAACUUGUGUUUUUGAAAUGAUGUGCACACAUACCUGAUUAAUUUUGUUUGUUUUAGUGAGCUCCACUUCUCACUUUAGAGAAAAGAGGUGAAAUAAAAUAAACCUGUGCACCGUUGAUUUCAAA
Long non-coding RNA from Gymnodraco acuticeps, 514 nucleotides. RefSeq lists it as uncharacterized. The record is from RefSeq and is a predicted model, not a curated record. The transcript has 2 exons. Lineage: Eukaryota; Metazoa; Chordata; Actinopteri; Perciformes; Bathydraconidae.